This 1399-nucleotide ribosomal RNA is filed under the name Staphylococcus haemolyticus. RNAcentral's name for it is "bacterial SSU rRNA". It matches the Rfam family "Bacterial small subunit ribosomal RNA". The record is from RNAcentral. Lineage: Bacteria; Bacillati; Bacillota; Bacilli; Caryophanales; Staphylococcaceae.
GUCGAGCGAACAGAUAAGGAGCUUGCUCCUUUGACGUUAGCGGCGGACGGGUGAGUAACACGUGGGUAACCUACCUAUAAGACUGGGAUAACUUCGGGAAACCGGAGCUAAUACCGGAUAAUAUUUCGAACCGCAUGGUUCGAUAGUGAAAGAUGGUUUUGCUAUCACUUAUAGAUGGACCCGCGCCGUAUUAGCUAGUUGGUAAGGUAACGGCUUACCAAGGCGACGAUACGUAGCCGACCUGAGAGGGUGAUCGGCCACACUGGAACUGAGACACGGUCCAGACUCCUACGGGAGGCAGCAGUAGGGAAUCUUCCGCAAUGGGCGAAAGCCUGACGGAGCAACGCCGCGUGAGUGAUGAAGGUCUUCGGAUCGUAAAACUCUGUUAUUAGGGAAGAACAUACGUGUAAGUAACUGUGCACGUCUUGACGGUACCUAAUCAGAAAGCCACGGCUAACUACGUGCCAGCAGCCGCGGUAAUACGUAGGUGGCAAGCGUUAUCCGGAAUUAUUGGGCGUAAAGCGCGCGUAGGCGGUUUUUUAAGUCUGAUGUGAAAGCCCACGGCUCAACCGUGGAGGGUCAUUGGAAACUGGAAAACUUGAGUGCAGAAGAGGAAAGUGGAAUUCCAUGUGUAGCGGUGAAAUGCGCAGAGAUAUGGAGGAACAUCAGUGGCGAAGGCGACUUUCUGGUCUGUAACUGACGCUGAUGUGCGAAAGCGUGGGGAUCAAACAGGAUUAGAUACCCUGGUAGUCCACGCCGUAAACGAUGAGUGCUAAGUGUUAGGGGGUUUCCGCCCCUUAGUGCUGCAGCUAACGCAUUAAGCACUCCGCCUGGGGAGUACGACCGCAAGGUUGAAACUCAAAGGAAUUGACGGGGACCCGCACAAGCGGUGGAGCAUGUGGUUUAAUUCGAAGCAACGCGAAGAACCUUACCAAAUCUUGACAUCCUUUGACAACUCUAGAGAUAGAGCUUUCCCCUUCGGGGGACAAAGUGACAGGUGGUGCAUGGUUGUCGUCAGCUCGUGUCGUGAGAUGUUGGGUUAAGUCCCGCAACGAGCGCAACCCUUAAGCUUAGUUGCCAUCAUUAAGUUGGGCACUCUAAGUUGACUGCCGGUGACAAACCGGAGGAAGGUGGGGAUGACGUCAAAUCAUCAUGCCCCUUAUGAUUUGGGCUACACACGUGCUACAAUGGACAAUACAAAGGGCAGCGAAACCGCGAGGUCAAGCAAAUCCCAUAAAGUUGUUCUCAGUUCGGAUUGUAGUCUGCAACUCGACUACAUGAAGCUGGAAUCGCUAGUAAUCGUAGAUCAGCAUGCUACGGUGAAUACGUUCCCGGGUCUUGUACACACCGCCCGUCACACCACGAGAGUUUGUAACACCCGAAGCCGGUGGAGUAACCA